This 156-nucleotide microRNA precursor is filed under the name Populus trichocarpa (black cottonwood). RNAcentral's name for it is "MIR2912 microRNA precursor family". It matches the Rfam family "MIR2912 microRNA precursor family". The record is from Rfam by way of RNAcentral. Lineage: Eukaryota; Viridiplantae; Streptophyta; Magnoliopsida; Malpighiales; Salicaceae.
UCUAAAACUCGAGAUAUGGGCUGAACAUUAAACAAUGUUUGGGUUGCAGGACAGAUUCCGACUUCUCCAUUGUUGCUACCAUUUGAACUCAAAAAUGACAUUUUUAAAUCUUGGCCUCCUCAUGAAAGUUUUAGGCCUAUGUCUUAGGUUUUCAUA